GGGGCCGUAGUCUAGCCUGGCUAGGAUGCGCGGUUCGGGUCCGCGUGACCCCGGGUUCAAAUCCCGGCGGCCCCA
RNAcentral lists this transfer RNA (75 nucleotides) under Pyrobaculum arsenaticum. RNAcentral describes it as "tRNA-Pro". It matches the Rfam family "tRNA". Rfam says of the family: Transfer RNA (tRNA) molecules are approximately 80 nucleotides in length. The record is from RNAcentral. Lineage: Archaea; Thermoproteati; Thermoproteota; Thermoprotei; Thermoproteales; Thermoproteaceae. RNAcentral also lists the same sequence under 4 other names.